CAUUAAGUGGCUGAAAAUUUUUAAAGCAUUGGUCUCUUAAACCAAAUUAUAGUAUAUUAAAACCUACUCUUAAUGG
RNAcentral lists this transfer RNA (76 nucleotides) under Palomena angulosa. RNAcentral's name for it is "tRNA-Lys". It matches the Rfam family "tRNA". Rfam says of the family: Transfer RNA (tRNA) molecules are approximately 80 nucleotides in length. Their secondary structure includes four short double-helical elements and three loops (D, anti-codon, and T loops). Further hydrogen bonds mediate the characteristic L-shaped molecular structure. tRNAs have two regions of fundamental functional importance: the anti-codon, which is responsible for specific mRNA codon recognition, and the 3' end, to which the tRNAs corresponding amino acid is attached (by aminoacyl-tRNA synthetases). tRNAs cope with the degeneracy of the genetic code in two manners: having more than one tRNA (with a specific anti-codon) for a particular amino acid; and 'wobble' base-pairing, i.e. permitting non-standard base-pairing at the 3rd anti-codon position. The record is from RNAcentral. Lineage: Eukaryota; Metazoa; Arthropoda; Insecta; Hemiptera; Pentatomidae.